UUAUACAGAGUCCCCAGAUAAUGAGAGUGCCGCUUUAAACAGAGUCACUUAGAUAAUGACAGUGCCACUUUAAGCAGAGUCCCCAGAUAAUGACAGUGCCAUUUUAAGCAGAGUCCCCAGAUAAUGACAGUGCCGCUUUAAGCAGAGUCCCCAGAUAAUGACAGUGCCGCUUUAAGCAGAGUCCCCAGAUAAUGACAGUGCCAUUUUAAGCAGAGUCCCCAGAUAAUGACAGUGCCGCUUUAAGCAGAGUUCCCAGAUAAUGACAGUACAGCUUUAAGCAGAAAUAUGCUCCGGUAUUGCCAAC
Molecule: non-coding RNA, 304 nt
Organism: Pelobates cultripes (western spadefoot toad)
Lineage: Eukaryota; Metazoa; Chordata; Amphibia; Anura; Pelobatidae
Source: the annotation of a GenBank genome assembly